GGUCCCAUAGUUUACUGGCUAGAAUUCCGGGUUUUCACCCCGGGGAAGGGGGAUCGAAACCCCCUGGGAUCACCA
Molecule: transfer RNA, 75 nt
Filed under: marine sediment metagenome
Description: tRNA-Glu
Rfam family: tRNA
About the family: Transfer RNA (tRNA) molecules are approximately 80 nucleotides in length. Their secondary structure includes four short double-helical elements and three loops (D, anti-codon, and T loops).
Source: RNAcentral